RNAcentral lists this ribosomal RNA (253 nucleotides) under uncultured bacterium. RNAcentral describes it as "partial 16S ribosomal RNA". It matches the Rfam family "Bacterial small subunit ribosomal RNA", at positions 524 to 776 of the family's 1533-position model. The record is from RNAcentral.
UACGGGGGGGGCAAGCGUUGUUCGGAAUUACUGGGCGUAAAGGGCUGGUAGGCGGCCAACUAAGUCGGAUGUGAAAUCCCCAGGCUUAACCUGGGAACUGCAUCCGAUACUGGUCGGCUUGAAUCCGGGAGAGGGAUGCGGAAUUCCAGGUGUAGCGGUGAAAUGCGUAGAUAUCUGGAGGAACACCGGUGGCGAAGGCGGCAUCCUGGACCGGCAUUGACGCUGAGGCGCGAAAGCCAGGGGAGCAAACGGG